GACAGAGGGUGCAAACGUUGUUCGGAAUUACUGGGCGUAAAGCGAGUGUAGGCGGUUCGGUAAGUCGGAUGUGAAAGCCCCGGGCUCAACCUGGGAAGUGCACUCGAUACUGCCGAGCUAGAGUAUCGGAGAGGUUGGUGGAAUUCUCGGUGUAGAGGUGAAAUUCGUAGAUAUCGAGAGGAACACCGGUGGCGAAGGCGGCCAACUGGACGAAUACUGACGCUGAGACUCGAAAGCGUGGGGAGCAAACAGG
Molecule: ribosomal RNA, 253 nt
Filed under: uncultured bacterium
Lineage: Bacteria
Description: partial 16S ribosomal RNA
Rfam family: Bacterial small subunit ribosomal RNA
Source: RNAcentral